GCUCAACUCUUAAUUUCCNACAUGAUCUGAGUUUAGACNGAUGAGAAUCANGUUGGAUUCUAUCUUAAUAAUAAAAUAAUUUUAAUUAGUACGAAAGGAAUUUUAAAAUAUAAUUAUUAGGAUAAACAACUUUAUUUGCAUCAAUUUUUGUAAUU
RNAcentral lists this ribosomal RNA (155 nucleotides) under Rhipicephalus simus. Its description in RNAcentral is "partial 16S ribosomal RNA". Lineage: Eukaryota; Metazoa; Arthropoda; Arachnida; Ixodida; Ixodidae. The record is from RNAcentral.